Molecule: ribosomal RNA, 253 nt
Filed under: uncultured bacterium
Lineage: Bacteria
Description: partial 16S ribosomal RNA
Rfam family: Bacterial small subunit ribosomal RNA
Source: RNAcentral
UACGUAGGGACCGAGCGUUGUCCGGAAUCAUUGGGCGUAAAGAGCGUGUAGGCGGCUUGCUAAGUCUUGCGUGAAAUCUCGGGGCUCAACCCCGAGCGGUCGUGAGAAACUGGCGGGCUAGAGUGCGGGAGAGGAGAGUGGAAUUCCUGGUGUAGCGGUGAAAUGCGCAGAUAUCAGGAGGAACACCGGUGGCGAAGGCGGGUCUCUGGGCCGUAACUGACGCUGAGGAGCGAAAGCGUGGGGAGCGAACAGG